GGGCCCGUAGCUCAGCUGGAUAGAGCAACGGACUUCUAAUCCGUAGGUCGGAGGUUCGAAUCCUCCCGGGCCCGCCA
Molecule: transfer RNA, 77 nt
Filed under: Desulfurobacterium thermolithotrophum
Lineage: Bacteria; Pseudomonadati; Aquificota; Aquificia; Desulfurobacteriales; Desulfurobacteriaceae
Also listed under: 8 other names
Description: tRNA-Arg
Rfam family: tRNA
About the family: Transfer RNA (tRNA) molecules are approximately 80 nucleotides in length. Their secondary structure includes four short double-helical elements and three loops (D, anti-codon, and T loops).
Source: RNAcentral